RNAcentral lists this long non-coding RNA (208 nucleotides) under Mytilus galloprovincialis (Mediterranean mussel). Lineage: Eukaryota; Metazoa; Mollusca; Bivalvia; Mytilida; Mytilidae. The record is from RNAcentral.
AUAAAAAAUAAUAAAGAUACAAAUGAUGUUUUAAUAUUUAUUUCAUAAUCAAUUUAGAAUACAAAAGUAAAUUUACACAACAAAACACACUUAAAAGAUUGAGGUACAAUACAUGGUAAAAAAACACAAAUCCACACAUAUUGAAGGGAAGUAACUCUUAUAUUGAAGGGAAGUAACUCUUGCUUAUUUCAAAUUCAACAAACCGGCC